AAGUCAAAGGAUCACUUGCACCACUCCCACUAGAGAACCAUCUGUCGAUAUGCUGUAAGGCUCUAUCAAAUAUUCUUCAUAUGGGUCAAUUCAGUGAACUCAUUCUCUAAUGAGCACCUACAUCCUUGUAUUAAUAUCAUCAUAUAAGUGAUUGUGAGAUCAACCAUCCUCUCCAUUGAGCAUACAUUGGAGCACCAGUCUUAUCGGCAUCAUCGAUCUCCAACUCAAUGAUUCAACAAUUGAGAAUAUUUUAGAUUGAUACUACCA
This 267-nucleotide long non-coding RNA is filed under the name Elaeis guineensis (African oil palm). Its description in RNAcentral is "long non-coding RNA (EGUI_LNC061960)". Lineage: Eukaryota; Viridiplantae; Streptophyta; Magnoliopsida; Arecales; Arecaceae. The record is from RNAcentral.